UACGGAGGGGGCUAGCGUUGUUCGGAAUUACUGGGCGUAAAGAGCGCGCAGGCGGUCGAUCAAGUCGAGUGUGAAAGCACCCGGCUCAACUGGGGAGGGUCAUUCGAAACUGAUCGACUUGAAGGCAGGAGAGGGUAGUGGAAUUCCCGGUGUAGUGGUGAAAUUCGUAGAUAUCGGGAGGAACACCAGUGGCGAAGGCGACUACCUGGCCUGUUCUUGACGCUGAGGCGCGAAAGCUAGGGUAGCAAACGGG
Molecule: ribosomal RNA, 253 nt
Filed under: uncultured bacterium
Lineage: Bacteria
Description: partial 16S ribosomal RNA
Rfam family: Bacterial small subunit ribosomal RNA
Source: RNAcentral